Molecule: long non-coding RNA, 1884 nt
Organism: Polypterus senegalus (gray bichir)
Lineage: Eukaryota; Metazoa; Chordata; Cladistia; Polypteriformes; Polypteridae
Exons: 3
Source: RefSeq, a predicted model, not a curated record
GGAGAACAGACACCCAAGGCGCGAUACAUAUGCAGAGAAAGUCUCUUACAUCGUGAAGUAGACUCACCUGAGCUCUGAAGCAAUCCAUUUAACGGGAGGAAAGGAGACUUGGGCCAGUGAGAGGAAAGGGGCAGGGGACUGAGCCGCCGUUGUUGCCACCCCACUGUGCACGCCCCUGCCACUCCACUCCUUGAGCUCCUUAGCUAUAAAAGAUGAAUCCCAAACAGGAAAUUGCCAGCCAUUCAUUCUGGAAUCGGCUCAACAUGAAGAAUCUACAGAGAGACCAGAGAUGCUAUUUGAUGGCAAGGCCGGAACCAACCCUGGAUGGGGCACCAAGGCAUCACAGAACACAUUCAUUCAUACAAACUGAGUGAAUUUGGAAUUGCACAUCAAAACAAGAUGUCUUCAGAAAACAGCCACUUGAAAAUGGAGAGAACAUGCAAACUGCACACAGCCAGUGCCCAAGCCAGGAACCCACCACAUUAUUACAAUCAGAUCUGACAUUUGAGCUUGUUAAACUCAAGCCAUACCUGAAAAUUGAUCAGACUAUAAGACGAACACUGAUGGGGUAAGCAUCAGUCGAGAGAUUCGGACUCCUGUGAAUGAGGUCAGCAGACUCUUUUACUGUAUUUGUUAUUGUAAUUUUAGAGUAACAACUAUGCUGAAAUUAUGGCAGAAUCCUAGAAGUCAGUGUAGAUUGGUAAAGGAAGAAACUGGAGAUGGCACUAGGGGUCAGUGGGAAGUGGGAGACUCGGAGUGGACAGAGUUUCAAGGCAGACUGGGAGUUAAUGUCCAAACUAGGAGAAGCAGACACUCCAGGAGACACCAGGAUUAAGUGUGAACUGGGAAAAGUGGAUAGUCCGGACACAUGAGGAGUCACUUCAAAGAGAGAGAAAUGGAGUGUCAAUGAGAUUCUGGGAGUCGGGGACAAAAUUGGGAGGACUGAAGUCUUCAGGAGAAGAGGAAAUAGUGGCAGUCUGUGGAUGGAUGUUGGGUCAGAUAAUUUGGAUUCACAGAGGAAAGAUAAGCCAGUUUGUCAGUUACGUGGAAAGGUGACAUUCAUAAAACUGCCACCUUGUUAAUGUACUUAUACCAAAAUAUGUCUGUCACCCAGUUUCAAAACCAGCUUUGGACAAUUCAGGGUUGCAUGGGGCCAAGAGCCUAUGCCAAUAGCAAUGCAGCAACCAACCUUGGUUGGGAUGACAGUACAUCCCAGGACACUCUUUCCCAUAAGGGGCAAAUUUAGAUAAAUUAAUCUAGGAGGAACACAAGAAUACCAGGGCCGAACUCAUUUAGACAUGGGGAGCAUAAGCAAACACAGCAGAGAUAACACCUAGGGCUCUGGAGCUGUGAGGCACCAGGGCCAUCCAUUCUGCCACCCUGUAUGUUGGCAUUUCGAGUUAUUCUUUUAUUUGCCUGCUUGUGCAAUGGUAUACUACUAUUACUCAUUUUCUCUUGCAAGUGUAUAUUCAUUUUAUUGUUAUUCUAUAUGCUGUACCAGAAAUUGACAUGAAUAAUUAAUUUCUUAGAUGAAGUUAAGGGGCAUCUGAUUUGUUACAGUCACAGCAAAUUAGACAAAGAGGAAAAUUUAUGAUAGCAAACGAUUUGUUACAAUAAAGUCAGAGUUGAAAAUACUCCAGUAAGAUUUAUAAAAACCUGAUCAAAACAUUAGCAGUGUGGCCUGAGCAUGGACACGGUGGACUGAUAUGAAUAGUACACAAGGGAAGGAUUUGCACGUAACACAAACACUUUGUUGUUUUUCUCCUCUGCCAUGAGAGUCAAAGACAGUGCCUCAGAUUAAGACCAGUGACCCUGCCUCUUACUCAACCCAUGAUCCCACCUCUGACCCUGCCUCAUCUGGGCUAAAUAAACCUCCAAGACAGG